GGUUUAAUUACCCAAGUUUGAGGUAGUUGAAUAUUACGGCCCGGUGUUUCGGCUGCUGUGGCUUCAAAUGAAAUUUUGGAACGUCUUGCAUUUGCGGGACCAA
This 103-nucleotide small RNA is filed under the name Onchocerca flexuosa. RNAcentral describes it as "SL1 RNA". It matches the Rfam family "SL1 RNA". Lineage: Eukaryota; Metazoa; Nematoda; Chromadorea; Rhabditida; Onchocercidae. The record is from Rfam by way of RNAcentral.